RNAcentral lists this non-coding RNA (395 nucleotides) under Punica granatum (pomegranate). Its description in RNAcentral is "Bacterial small subunit ribosomal RNA". It matches the Rfam family "Bacterial small subunit ribosomal RNA", at positions 9 to 383 of the family's 1533-position model. The record is from Rfam by way of RNAcentral. Lineage: Eukaryota; Viridiplantae; Streptophyta; Magnoliopsida; Myrtales; Lythraceae.
GAGUUUGAUCAUGGCUCAGGAUGAACACUGGCAGCAUGCUUAACACCUGCAAGUCGGAUGGGAAGUAGUGUUUCCAAUGAUGGACGGGUGAAUAAUGCGUAAGAAUCUGCCCUUUAGAGGGGAACAACAGCUGAAAAUGACUGCUAAUACCCAAUAGGCUGAGGAGCAAAAGGAAGAAUCUACCUGAGGACGGGUUGGCGUCUGAUUAGCUAGUUGGUGAGGCAAUAUAUUAUUAAGGUUAUGAUCAUUAGCUGGUCCAAGGAGAUGAUUAGCCACACUGGGACUGAGACACGGCCUAGACUCCUACAGGAAGGCAGCGGUGGGGAAUUUUUUGCAAUGGGCAUAGAUGAGCUACCUUAGACACAAGCCCCGUUAACACCGUACAAGUUCGGGCC